Molecule: non-coding RNA, 27 nt
Filed under: Rattus norvegicus (Norway rat)
Lineage: Eukaryota; Metazoa; Chordata; Mammalia; Rodentia; Muridae
Source: RNAcentral
UCUGACAGAAUCAACACUGCACCCUGC